UGACUGGGGUGAAGUCGUAACAAGGUAACCGUAGGGGAACCUGCGGUUGGAUCACCUCCUUACCUGAAAGAA
This 72-nucleotide ribosomal RNA is filed under the name Salmonella enterica subsp. enterica serovar Saintpaul. RNAcentral describes it as "partial 16S ribosomal RNA". The stretch from base 1 to 62 matches the Rfam family "Bacterial small subunit ribosomal RNA", at positions 1472 to 1533 of the family's 1533-position model. Lineage: Bacteria; Pseudomonadati; Pseudomonadota; Gammaproteobacteria; Enterobacterales; Enterobacteriaceae. RNAcentral also lists the same sequence under 3 other names. The record is from RNAcentral.